Molecule: ribosomal RNA, 649 nt
Filed under: uncultured bacterium
Lineage: Bacteria
Description: bacterial SSU rRNA
Rfam family: Bacterial small subunit ribosomal RNA
Source: RNAcentral
AGAGUUUGAUCCUGGCUCAGAUUGAACGCUGGCGGUAUGCUUAACACAUGCAAGUCGAACGGUAACAGGCCGCUGGGAUCCCUUCGGGGUGACCUUGGCGCUGACGAGUGGCGGACGGGUGAGUAAUACUUAGGAAUCUGCCCAGUAGCGGGGGACAACUCGAGGAAACUCGAGCUAAUACCGCAUACGCCCUACGGGGGAAAGCGGGGGAUCUUCGGACCUCGCACUAUUGGAUGAGCCUAAGUCGGAUUAGCUUGUUGGUGAGGUAAUGGCUCACCAAGGCAACGAUCCGUAGCUGGUCUGAGAGGACGACCAGCCACACUGGGACUGAGACACGGCCCAGACUCCUACGGGAGGCAGCAGUGGGGAAUAUUGGACAAUGGGCGCAAGCCUGAUCCAGCAAUACCGCGUGUGUGAAGAAGGCCUGCGGGUUGUAAAGCACUUUCAGUGGGGAAGAAAUGUCUGAGGUUAAUACCCUCGGAUCUUGACGUAACCUACAGAAGAAGCACCGGCUAACUCCGUGCCAGCAGCCGCGGUAAUACGGGGGGUGCAAGCGUUAAUCGGAAUUACUGGGCGUAAAGCGCGCGUAGGCGGCUUUGUAAGUCGGAUGUGAAAGCCCUGGGCUCAACCUGGGAACUGCAUUCGAAAC